Molecule: long non-coding RNA, 1434 nt
Organism: Dendroctonus ponderosae (mountain pine beetle)
Lineage: Eukaryota; Metazoa; Arthropoda; Insecta; Coleoptera; Curculionidae
Exons: 2
Source: RefSeq, a predicted model, not a curated record
GCAGUAGCUGCGCUAGGGGUCGGCGAGGUUUUAGUAGCGAUAAAACCACUUUUAAUAGAGAUGUAAAUAAUUGCGAAUUAGAAAAAUCAGAUCAAAUUUGACAAUAAUGAUAGUGAACGUGAAAACAUUCCGAGUUGUUCGGGAAUUGAAAAGUAAGUUUUUAAGUACUUAAUAUUAAUACAUUAUUUUCUAAUCUAAAUAUGGGUACUUGUUUCCUGCUGGGACAAAAGCUAAAGAUUUUCAUUUAGGGGAAAAAGAAGUACUUGAUUUGGCUCUAUAUCUACAUGAACUUUCAAAACAGGCGGUGUAAGCAAGUUUUCCUAAAAAACAGUAUACUAGAAUCAUCAGUAUAUUCCUGAUGUUUCUAGCAUCACAAAAUUCCAAGAAGAACUACGUAUCUUGCGGCUACCUGCAGAGCCCACCUACAAAACUGCCUACAAAAACCAAAUCAGAAUCAACACUGACUCAAUCAAUUCUUUUAAUAAAGAUUCGCUAGAGCGAUAAUUAAAUUUCUUAAUAACAAAAAUGCAUAAUUUCAUAGACACAUCUAAAACAAGAUCGCGCUUUCCGAGUUAUCAUUCGCAACAUGCAACGACAACGCCAGUCAAAUAUAUCAAAACUGGAUUAGAGGAACUAGAGCAACCAAAUCACUUAAGCAGCCUAAGACCCAUUCGUGAUCUAUAAGAACUACGAAUGGAUGGACCAGAAGCGACCAGUGUUUCUAUUCUUGACUUUGAGAGAAGGGAGUAUCCCCGGGAGCAUCACAGGAAGUCGCUCCUCGCUCACGAUCCCUAGCGUAUAAAAAUAGUAUUCUUGAAUGAUAAGGAAUGCCAGUGAACACGCAGUCCCUGCAAGCACUGUUGCCAGCUUAUCUGACCAAUCAAAAUUGCGAAAAUAUUGACGGUCUGACAUGCUCGCCAACGUCAUUUAUUUACUAUUGUGGCGGAACUCGUACCAACUUUUUGUUUUAAAAGAGACAGACAUUUAAGAAUCAUGUAUUUGUCUUUAUCUAAGCUAAGAAACGGUCGUUUAUUCCCUCGUUUUCUGCUGUUUUUGUUUUUUUAAGCAUGGUUCAUUGCUUCUGUGCCCUAUUGAGGUAAGGUAAUGUACUAGUAAAAUGAAUACAGUUUUAUGAAGAAAGUAACAGGGUAAUUUCAUUUAUGUAGCCGCUUUCCUUCAGCACUUUAUAAUGAAUCGUAAAAUGAGUCUGUGUUCCUUAAAGAGACUGAAGUAAAUGUACCUUUUAGGAAAAAUGGAAUAGCACAAUAGCCAUUGCAAAUUGUGACAAAUCAAGGCUGCUAUCGCUCAAGCAAAAGGAAUCGCUGAUAGAAUUUGUCCACAGCAGGUCCCAAAUGACAAGGCUUAUUCUCGUGUAGAAUCCUUAACGAAUGUAUAUUUAAUGAACAAUAAAACACCAUCUCCACCAACAAUGUA